GACGAACGCUGGCGGCGUGCUUAACACAUGCAAGUCGAACGGAAAGACCCUGCUUUUGUGGGGUGCUCGAGUGGCGAACGGGUGAGUAACACGUGAGUAACCUGCCCUUGACUUUGGGAUAACUUCAGGAAACUGGGGCUAAAACCGGAUAGGAGCUCCUGCUGCAUGGUGGGGGUUGGAAAGUUUCGGCGGUUGGGGAUGGACUCGCGGCUUAUCAGCUUGUUGGUGGGGUAGUGGCUUACCAAGGCUUUGACGGGUAGCCGGCCUGAGAGGGUGACCGGCCACAUUGGGACUGAGAUACGGCCCAGACUCCUACGGGAGGCAGCAGUGGGGAAUAUUGCACAAUGGGCGGAAGCCUGAUGCAGCAACGCCGCGUGCGGGAUGACGGCCUUCGGGUUGUAAACCGCUUUCGCCUGUGACGAAGCGUGAGUGACGGUAAUGGGUAAAGAAGCACCGGCUAACUACGUG
Molecule: ribosomal RNA, 468 nt
Filed under: uncultured bacterium
Lineage: Bacteria
Description: partial 16S ribosomal RNA
Rfam family: Bacterial small subunit ribosomal RNA
Source: RNAcentral